UGGUACGUAUUUAUUUGUCUGCA
RNAcentral lists this microRNA (23 nucleotides) under Drosophila melanogaster (fruit fly). RNAcentral's name for it is "dme-miR-4964-3p". Lineage: Eukaryota; Metazoa; Arthropoda; Insecta; Diptera; Drosophilidae. The record is from miRBase by way of RNAcentral.